Molecule: ribosomal RNA, 450 nt
Filed under: uncultured bacterium
Lineage: Bacteria
Description: partial 16S ribosomal RNA
Rfam family: Bacterial small subunit ribosomal RNA
Source: RNAcentral
CCUACGGGGGGCAGCAGUGGGGAAUUUUGGACAAUGGGCGCAAGCCUGAUCCAGCCAUUCCGCGUGAGUGAAGAAGGCCUUCGGGUUGUAAAGCUCUUUCGCAAGGGAAGAAAACUUAUCCUCUAACAUAGGAUGAGGUUGACGGUACCUUGAUAAGAAGCACCGGCUAACUACGUGCCAGCAGCCGCGGUAAUACGUAGGGUGCGUACGUUACUCGGAGUGAGCGGGCGUAAUGCGUGCACAGGCAGUUGAAAUCCCCGAGCUCAACUUGGGAACUGCGGUUGAAACUACAAGACUAGAAUAGGUCAGAGGGGGGUAGAAUUCCACGUGUAGCAGUGAAAUGCGUAGAGAUGUGGAGGAAUAUCAAUGGCGAAGGCAGCCCCCUGGGAUCAUAUUGACGCUCAUGCACGAAAGCGUGGGGAGCAAACAGGAUUAGAUACCCGAGUAGUC